Molecule: ribosomal RNA, 253 nt
Filed under: uncultured bacterium
Lineage: Bacteria
Description: partial 16S ribosomal RNA
Rfam family: Bacterial small subunit ribosomal RNA
Source: RNAcentral
UACGUAGGGGGCAAGCGUUGUCCGGAUUUAUUGGGCGUAAAGAGCUCGUAGGCGGUUCCGUAAGUCGAGUGUGAAAAAUCUGGGCUCAACCCAGUGGAGCACUCGAUACUGCGGUGACUAGAGUACGGUAGAGGAGUGUGGAAUUCCUGGUGUAGCGGUGAAAUGCGUAGAGAUCAGGAAGAACACCGGUGGCGAAAGCGCUCUGCUGGACCUAAACUGACACUGAGGGACGAAAGCUAGGGGAGCGAAUGGG